AAAAGUCCAAGUGGCCGGUAGCCCCAGGGGAAGAUGCUGUCCCUUCCUGGUAAUCCGAGGAAGGCAAACACAACUACGGGGAGAUGGGAUUAGCAAAGAAGAAAGAGUAACAAGGCCUGGUGUGGGGGAGGGAAUGGAGGGGGGCGGGCCCUCUUCUGCCGCACUGCUGGUGGGAGGGGAAAUUAGGGACCCGAGUUGGUGGAUGACGUAGAUCUCACGUGACCAAGAGCUGACGUGUGCAGAAGUCCUUCUUGUUCUGGUCCUUGUUCCCGUCUGAGUACCAGCUCCCCAUUGCCCUGAGGGCCAGCGGGCCUGCGGCAGAGGGAAGGAGGAGGAGAAGAAGGAAAUUGUCCCGGAUUCUUGCAGGGGGCCCGAGUCUCUCCUGGGUUGCCAGUCUUUCCGUAGGUUGCGGCACUACGCCAGGCAAGAGAAGAGGAAGGAAAUUAACCCCAAUCGGUGAAGGUCGAUUUGAGGGUCUGCUGUAGCAGGUGGCACUACUUGAAGCGAGAGAGGAAGUUUCCUCGGAUCAGUAGAGAUUGCAAGGGUUGUUGGGCGUGGCACACCUCCAGGGGAGGGAAGAAGGGACAAACUGCCUGUCUGGAGGAGGUUAGUGCAACAGUGCCACUCCCUGGGGACACCCGAGCUUGGGGUGGCUGAGGCCCCAGCAGAGACUAAGGGCUC
RNAcentral lists this long non-coding RNA (681 nucleotides) under Ursus maritimus (polar bear). RNAcentral describes it as "lncRNA (ENSUMAG00000001232.1)". The record is from RNAcentral. Lineage: Eukaryota; Metazoa; Chordata; Mammalia; Carnivora; Ursidae.